UAGGGAAUCUUCCACAAUGGACGAAAGUCUGAUGGAGCAACGCCGCGUGAGUGAUGAAGGCUUUCGGAUCGUAAAACUCUGUUGUAAGGGAAGAACAAGUGCGUUAGGUAAUGAACGCACCUUGACGGUACCUUAUUAGAAAGCCACGGCUAACUACGUGCCAGCAGCCGCGGUAAUACGUAGGUGGCAAGCGUUGUCCGGAUUUAUUGGGCGUAAAGCGCGCGCAGGUGGUUUCUUAAGUCUGAUGUGAAAGCCCACGGCUCAACCGUGGAGGGUCAUUGGAAACUGGGGGACUUGAGUGCAGAAGAGGAUAGUGGAAUUCCAAGUGUAGCGGUGAAAUGCGUAGAGAUUUGGAGGAACACCAGUGGCGAAGGCGACUGUCUGGUCUGUAACUGACACUGAGGCGCGAAAGCGUGGGGAGCAAACAGG
Molecule: ribosomal RNA, 429 nt
Filed under: Bacillota bacterium
Lineage: Bacteria; Bacillati; Bacillota
Description: Firmicutes bacterium partial 16S ribosomal RNA
Rfam family: Bacterial small subunit ribosomal RNA
Source: RNAcentral